UUAGUACGGCGAGUGAGCGGUAAAAGCUCAAAUUUGAAAUCUGGUACUUUCAGUGCCCGAGUUGUAAUUUGUAGAAUUUGUCUUUGAUUAGGUCCUUGUCUAUGUUCCUUGGAACAGGACGUCAUAGAGGGUGAGAAUCCCGUUUGGCGAGGAUACCUUUUCUCUGUAAGACUUUUUCGAAGAGUCGAGUUGUUUGGGAAUGCAGCUCAAAGUGGGUGGUAAAUUCCAUCUAAAGCUAAAUAUUGGCGAGAGACCGAUAGCGAACAAGUACAGUGAUGGAAAGAUGAAAAGAACUUUGAAAAGAGAGUGAAAAAGUACGUGAAAUUGUUGAAAGGGAAGGGCAUUUGAUCAGACAUGGUGUUUUUUGCAUGCACUCGCCUCUCGUGGGCUUGGGCCUCUCAAAAAUUUCACUGGGCCAACAUCAAUUCUGGCAGCAGGAUAAAUCAUUAAGAAUGUAGCUACUUCGGUAGUGUUAUAGCUUUUUGGAAUACUGUUAGCCGGGAUUGAGGACUGCGCUUCGGCAAGGAUGUUGGCAUAAUGGUUAAAUGCCGCCCGUCUUGAAACACGGACCAU
Molecule: ribosomal RNA, 573 nt
Filed under: Hanseniaspora uvarum
Lineage: Eukaryota; Fungi; Ascomycota; Saccharomycetes; Saccharomycodales; Saccharomycodaceae
Description: LSU rRNA
Rfam family: Eukaryotic large subunit ribosomal RNA
Source: RNAcentral